This 1490-nucleotide long non-coding RNA is filed under the name Canis lupus familiaris (dog). RNAcentral's name for it is "lncRNA (ENSCAFG00030003953.1)". The record is from RNAcentral. Lineage: Eukaryota; Metazoa; Chordata; Mammalia; Carnivora; Canidae.
UCAAAUAUUUUUUCCUUUUUUUUUAGAAGAUUUCAUUUAUUUAUUUGACAGAGCGAUAGAGCCUGAGAGCACGAGCUGUGGGGAAUAGCAGGGAAGAGGGAGAAGCAGGCUCCCCACUGAGCAGGGCCCUGGGAUCAUGACCUAAGCCUAAUGCAGAUGCUUAGCCAACAGAGCUAUGCAGGUGCCCUGGAAAAAGAAUUCUCAAAACAAACAAGUAAUUAGAGAAAUCUCCUCCACCAGAAUGCUAGAAAAAAGUUUAAAGCUACAGCACAGAAUGGAGUGUACUCUUGCUACUAGAUUUUAUUCAUAGGCACAGGGUCCCCUAGAGACAGUGUGGGGAGUGAGAGGGAGAGAGAAAAAUCUUAAAUUUCAUCCUCUGGGCCUAUUGUUAGUGGUGAUUAUGACUCACUGAUAUUUACGUAUUUUUUAAAAAUUUAUGUUGACAACAUUAGGCAGAAAAAUGUCAGUGUAAGGGAAAAAUGCAAAUAUAUAAUUUUUUUAAAGAUUUUAUUUAUUUAUUCAUGAGAGACGGGGAGGGGGGCAGAGGGAGAAGCAGAUUCCACACAGGGAACCCGACGUGGGACUCGAUCCUGGGUCUCCAGGAUCACGCCCUAGGCUGAGGCAGCGCUAAACCGCUGAGCCACCCAGGCUGCCCACAAAUACACAAUUUUUAAAGAUUAGUAAAAACUCUGAUCUAUCAUUUGAAUUCAUGUCUCUAGGUAUUACCCCUUUUUAGAUACCACCGAAAAAGGGGAAAGCCAUAUGAAUCCAGAGAGUGAAGAAGUCAGUAGUGUGCUUAAUGAGUUUUGUGAGGACACGUACCUCCCUUGAACACGAGGACAAAAGCCUAGAAGGUUCCAAGGCUGCCAGGUGCUCACAGCCUGCAGGGAACAGCUGGUUCAGACCUAGUCCCCAUGUCUGCCAGCCUCCCAGACCUGCUGGCCUCGUGGAUUGACCAGUCAUGGGUCCAGCCUGGGGGUCCAGCCCGCUGAGCACCCAGCAAUGUGGUCUGAUCAGUGGUGCGCUGAGGGGAGAGGUCGUUCUCAUAUGGAGCUGCCAAAGGGGAGCCCUGGAGGUCGAAUGAGCCCUGGAGGCCGAAUGAUAACUCCCUGAGGAUUUAUUGCAUCAACAAGGACAGAAUGACAGCUCCAGUCCAAGCCCUGCCCCUUGGAGGAUGUGUGUCCUUGGGAAAGUCACUGUGAAUGGGAAUAAUAAUGCUCACUCUGGAGACAUCCUCCACCAUGGGCCUGGGAUGGGUCAAGUUUAUUCCUUUGUAAAUAAAUAUUUUUUGUGAACUCACAUACAAUGUGAUUCGUUAACCAUUUGUUCCUUAUAAUAAUGUACAAACAUGGUUAUAACAACCACAUUUGAUACAUCAGCAAUUUGGAAUCUUAAAACUUUUCAUUUGCUCAAAGUAAUGUAAGUAAUGAAGCCUUGAUUCAAACUCAACUCUAAUAAAGUCCAAAACCCACCCACCCAUGACACAUCCA